This 1377-nucleotide long non-coding RNA is filed under the name Cavia porcellus (domestic guinea pig). Its description in RNAcentral is "lncRNA (ENSCPOG00000040344.1)". Lineage: Eukaryota; Metazoa; Chordata; Mammalia; Rodentia; Caviidae. The record is from RNAcentral.
AUGAUACUGAACCUGUUUUUCAAGAAAAUGGCAGUAUUGUCCAGGCCAUGAUUUCUUGCCUGCCUGGGGUGCAGCGUCCAUCCUACUUGUAAUAAAACUUAGACUUCAGUCAUGGUUCCACUGUUCCAUAUUCAAAGCCUUGAUCACAGUGUUUGAUCCAAUUAGUACAAACAUCUUCCUAUGUUGUUUGGUUCCACUGAUUCUAUUUCUCUAUUAAAAAUUAUUUUAGGUAAAGAAUAUGAAGGUUUGUACUCAUUACUCGAAGAAGUGUCUCUGUAAGUGCUUAGGAGAGUAAAUCCUACAGGUAUUGCCAGGACUAGAAGCAAAUUUUGAAGCUAAGUUUAAGAUUACACAUGAAAGCUAGUUAGAUAACUAUACUACCAAUCUCCCUUAGUUCAUCAAAAAGAACAGUUUGUGCUGUCAAUGUUUGAUCAUGUUUGUAUCUAGAUUUUGUAACCCGAACAACCAGUUCUGAGAUAACAAUGUGCAAUAUAUUGACUGGGUUAAUUCCCUUUUUUGAAAUUCUGUAUUAAUUCUAUCCUUUUUUUUUUCUGUGUUGCUUUUUAAAAUUAAAAAAAGAUUGCGGGAGAGAGAAGAAAGAAGAAGAAGAUGAAAAAGAAGAAGAAGGAGGAGGAGGAGGAGGAGGAGAGCAAACCUUUGUUUCCAGUCAUAUAGAUAAGUUUUCAAUAUCCAUUAUUGCCUAUUACAGUAACUUGGGUUUGCUUUAUUAUCAGAGUUAAAAAAUCAGACAUCUAUGAUGUGCUGUUGUAGAUUGUGUGAAAAGUAUGCCUGUCCAGAAUCAAUGUCAACUGGGAAGGAAAUCUGAAAUUUGAUAUUCAGGUCACUAAAAGAGAGAAAAAAAGACAGUGACCUUUGACCACGGUAUUCACAAAGGCCCCCUUGCCCUAGCAGGGGUGGGGAGCUUCAUCCUGAAUGCUAAAACCUGGCCUUCAACCCACAGUCCUGGCCCCUGAUUUGUAUCUUUUCCUCCUCCAUGGAAACAGCCAGUGAAGCACAGCUAUGCGUGGAAGACCGCUCCUCCCACAGGCUGCAUGUUCCCCCAAACAGCAGGCAACGUGCAUUCAGUGCAAGAGUGCACCCUAUGCCUGUGUGUAGACAAGAAUCACGUCAGUCAAAGAGAACUGAUAACAGGUAAAACAAAGCAGCUGAUAUUUAAGUGCUUCCUGUUCAUUCUUGGUAUAUCAACUAAUUAAAUGCAUGGACAGCUACGAGACGGGCUAUCUCAUCAGCCUCAUCUUAGAGGAAAAGAGGCAUACAGAGGUUUGCAGUGUAACUGAAGACACACAUGUUCCUUGAAAGGUAGGGACGGAAUUACCACAUUAUAUAACUUUAAAGUCCUGUUUUUCCUGAAUUUUG